This 558-nucleotide ribosomal RNA is filed under the name uncultured bacterium. Its description in RNAcentral is "bacterial SSU rRNA". It matches the Rfam family "Bacterial small subunit ribosomal RNA", at positions 62 to 607 of the family's 1533-position model. The record is from RNAcentral.
ACGCACAGCGAAAGGUGCUUGCACCUUUCAGUGAGUGGCGAACGGGUGAGUAACACGUGGACAACCUGCCUCAAGGCUGGGGAUAACAUUUGGAAACAGAUGCUAAUACCGAAUAAAACUCAGUGUCGCAUGACACAAAGUUAAAAGGCGCUUUGGCGUCACCUAGAGAUGGAUCCGCGGUGCAUUAGUUAGUUGGUGGGGUAAAGGCCUACCAAGACAAUGAUGCAUAGCCGAGUUGAGAGACUGAUCGGCCACAUUGGGACUGAGACACGGCCCAAACUCCUACGGGAGGCUGCAGUAGGGAAUCUUCCACAAUGGGCGAAAGCCUGAUGGAGCAACGCCGCGUGUGUGAUGAAGGCUUUCGGGUCGUAAAGCACUGUUGUAUGGGAAGAACAGCUAGAAUAGGGAAUGAUUUUAGUUUGACGGUACCAUACCAGAAAGGGACGGCUAAAUACGUGCCAGCAGCCGCGGUAAUACGUAUGUCCCGAGCGUUAUCCGGAUUUAUUGGGCGUAAAGCGAGCGCAGACGGUUGAUUAAGUCUGAUGUGAAAGCCCGGAG